GGAUCUUCCCCUCCCUAUGAUUUUCCCUUACUAUCUACCCAUACAAUAUUGCUUGUUUCUGUGAAUUCAAUGCUGUUUCAGUAAACUUAAAGCAUAUCAUUUGUUUGGAACUGUUAACCCUUAUACUUUUAUAUAGUCUAGAACCGAGACCAUUUCUCCUUCCUUAUAAUCUUUUCAAAGAAGAGUGUGCCUGAUGUGCGGGGAAGGGUGGGGUGUGUAAUGAAUGUAUUUAGCGUCUGUUUCAAUGUUUCUUUUAAGAAUGAGGAUGAUGUUGAAGGAAAUUUCUAUAUUAAGCUAUAACUUUUUAAACUUCUUAUAGAAAUUUUCAAAGAUUUUUUUUUUAAGUAG
RNAcentral lists this long non-coding RNA (348 nucleotides) under Bos taurus (domestic cattle). RNAcentral's name for it is "long non-coding RNA NONBTAT004944". Lineage: Eukaryota; Metazoa; Chordata; Mammalia; Artiodactyla; Bovidae. The record is from RNAcentral.